RNAcentral lists this ribosomal RNA (253 nucleotides) under uncultured bacterium. Its description in RNAcentral is "partial 16S ribosomal RNA". It matches the Rfam family "Bacterial small subunit ribosomal RNA", at positions 524 to 776 of the family's 1533-position model. The record is from RNAcentral.
UACAGAGGGUGCGAGCGUUAAUCGGAAUUACUGGGCGUAAAGCGUGCGUAGACGGUUAUUUAAGUCGGAUGUGAAAGCCCCGGGCUCAACCUGGGAAUUGCAUUCGAGACUGAAUAGCUAGGGUGCGGUAGAGGGAAGCGGAAUUUCCGGUGUAGCGGUGAAAUGCGUAGAUAUCUGAAGGAACAUCAGUGGCGAAAGCGACUUCCUGGACCAAUACUGACGCUCAUGUGCGAAAGCGUGGGGAGCAAACAGG